RNAcentral lists this ribosomal RNA (465 nucleotides) under Vreelandella stevensii. RNAcentral's name for it is "partial 16S ribosomal RNA". It matches the Rfam family "Bacterial small subunit ribosomal RNA", at positions 338 to 795 of the family's 1533-position model. Lineage: Bacteria; Pseudomonadati; Pseudomonadota; Gammaproteobacteria; Oceanospirillales; Halomonadaceae. The record is from RNAcentral.
CCUACGGGAGGCAGCAGUGGGGAAUAUUGGACAAUGGGGGCAACCCUGAUCCAGCCAUGCCGCGUGUGUGAAGAAGGCCCUCGGGUUGUAAAGCACUUUCAGGGAGGAAGAACGCCUGGUGGUUAAUACCCAUCAGGAAAGACAUCACUCACAGAAGAAGCACCGGCUAACUCCGUGCCAGCAGCCGCGGUAAUACGGAGGGUGCGAGCGUUAAUCGGAAUUACUGGGCGUAAAGCGCGCGUAGGUGGCUUGAUAAGCCGGUUGUGAAAGCCCCGGGCUCAACCUGGGAACGGCAUCCGGAACUGUCAAGCUAGAGUGCAGGAGAGGAAGGUAGAAUUCCCGGUGUAGCGGUGAAAUGCGUAGAGAUCGGGAGGAAUACCAGUGGCGAAGGCGGCCUUCUGGACUGACACUGACACUGAGGUGCGAAAGCGUGGGUAGCAAACAGGAUUAGAUACCCCGGUAGUC